UACGGGGGGGGCAAGCGUUGUUCGGAAUUACUGGGCGUAAAGGGCGCGUAGGCGGCCUGCUAAGUCACACGUGAAAUCCCUCGGCUCAACCCUGGAAUGCCGGUGGAUACUGUCGGGCUAGAGUCCGGAAGAGGCGAGUGGAAUUCCUGGUGUAGCGGUGGAAUGCGCAGAUAUCAGGAGGAACACCGAUAGCGAAGGCAGCUCGCUGGGACGGUACUGACGCUGAGGCGCGAAAGCGUGGGGAGCGAACAGG
RNAcentral lists this ribosomal RNA (253 nucleotides) under uncultured bacterium. RNAcentral describes it as "partial 16S ribosomal RNA". It matches the Rfam family "Bacterial small subunit ribosomal RNA", at positions 524 to 776 of the family's 1533-position model. The record is from RNAcentral.